RNAcentral lists this ribosomal RNA (482 nucleotides) under uncultured bacterium. RNAcentral's name for it is "partial 16S ribosomal RNA". It matches the Rfam family "Bacterial small subunit ribosomal RNA", at positions 28 to 523 of the family's 1533-position model. The record is from RNAcentral.
AGUGAACGUUGGCGGCGUGGAUUAGGCAUGCAAGUCGAGCGAGAACCGUAGCAAUACGGGGACAGCGGCGAAAGGGACAGUAAUGUGUAGGUACCUACCCCGAGGUCUGGGAUAGCUGCGGGAAACUGCAGGUAAUACCGGAUAAUGUCUUCGGACCAAAGGUGUGAUUCCACCUUGGGAGGGGCCUGCAUCCUAUUAGCUUGUUGGCGGGGUAACGGCCCACCAAGGCGACGAUGGGUAGCGGGUGUGAGAGCACGACCCGCGUCAUUGGGACUGAGAUACUGCCCAGACACCUACGGGUGGCUGCAGUCGAGGAUCUUCGGCAAUGGGCGAAAGCCUGACCGAGCGACGCCGCGUGCGGGAUGAAGGCCUUCGGGUUGUAAACCGCUGUCGUAGAGGAGGAAAUGCAGGGGGGUUCUCCCUUCUGUUUGACCUAUUCUAGGAGGAAGGACGGGCUAAGUUCGUGCCAGCCGCCGCCGUAA